RNAcentral lists this long non-coding RNA (2798 nucleotides) under Pan troglodytes (chimpanzee). Its description in RNAcentral is "long non-coding RNA NONPTRT017546". Lineage: Eukaryota; Metazoa; Chordata; Mammalia; Primates; Hominidae. The record is from RNAcentral.
AAGCGGGCAAACAAUUGCUUCCUUUUCUCUAAUUUCUAUAUUACUGUACGAGGCUGGAAAGCCCAGCAUGUCACAGGUAGGCAGCCGAGCUUCUAGGAAGGCAGAUGCUGACCCACCCCACAGCCGUGCCCCAGUCUGCCCCUCUCAGCAGUGCUGAGCGGCCUGGUCCCCUCAGAACCCCAGCCUCCCCCAUGUGUGGAGUGGACACCGAGAGCCCCUGCCUGGCAGGUGUGGUGAGGACUGACUGAGCUGAGCCGGGUAAACGCUUGCCCGAGAGCCCUUGUCGCCAGAUGGCCCUGCAGCCCUGUGGGCAGCCACGCUCAUCACCCCAUCUCACAGAGGUGGUCCGAAGGCUCAAGAGGCAGCCACUUGCCCAGGGCCACUCAUUUCAGGAGUGUCAGGCCACAUCUUGAGUUCAUCCUAUUAUUUGGGAAAGUGCCCAGGGCCAGUGGCUGUCACUCUGUCACAUGGCCCUGGCCUCUCAGAGCUUCAGAGCUGGGCACACCAGGGUGGCUCUGCUGGAGAUGGCAUUUAAGAUGCAAUUCCUGGGCUCUGUCUUGGGAGGUCUGUUCUGCUCCAUCACCCCAGUGCCAGGUGGCCCUGAGGGGACAUUGGAUGAGAGAGUUAGCCACACCCUGCCGACCCUACCCACAUCUGUGGCUCUGGCGCCCCCACUGAGCCACCUGUUCCUUGACAGGUGCCACGUGCAGGGCUAUCCUGAGGGUUGGGGCAUCUCCUGGAACAAUGAGGUUGGCCCACAACACAACAGGAGUCAACACGGGCCCUGCUACUGGCUCAGUUCCGGAACCCUAAGGCAUCCUUGCGUGUGCGGCUCUGUGACCUCCUGAGCCACCUGCAGCGGAGCGGUGAGCGGGACUGCCAGGAGUUCUACCGAGCCCUGUAUAUCCAUGCCCAGCCCCUGCACAGCUGCCUGCCCAGCCGCCACGCUCUGCGUAAGUUCCACAUCACCAACCAUGCAUGCUUGGUGCUGGCCCGGGGAGGGCACCCCAGCCUGCCAUUGAUGGCAUGGAUGUCCUCCAUGACCACCCAAGUCUGCUGCAGCCCAGGCCUGGCAUCCCCUCUCGCCUCAGCCCCUCCCCAGAGGCCACCCUCUGGCCCCGAGGGGAGAGUGGCAGGCACAGGCAGUGCAGAUGUUGGUCUCUGUCUCCCACUUUCUCCCCCUUCCUCUGUCUCUCUCUCUCAUGGCAGUUUUCACACAGCAUGGGGCAUCUUAUACGUCCACUCUUGCCCUUCCUUUUCUAACCUCAUUCCACGGGGAUCCUUUCAUGUCUGUGUGGACAGCAGCCUUGUUCCCACAGCUGCAUGGUGCUCCUAGGCGGUCCCAGCUGGAAUUACCCAACCCCAUGACGGACCCUUUCAUUGCAGCGAUCUGCACACGUGUGGGUGUUUCCAUAGGACAUUGUCAGGCACGGAUGGCUGGUCCGAAGCACGUGCAUUUCAGUUUUGAGGCUCCUGUCCUCAGGCAGUGUGGACUCAGGCCCUGGGAGUCAUGUGGAUGCCAGUAGCCUGGGCCCACAGAGCUGCUGGGACGUGGGGGGCAUAUCAAGUUGAAGAUGGCAACUCUGAUCUGAUGCCUCUGUGCUCAGGGCCCCUGGAGGAGGGGCUACUGCCCCUUGGCCCUUAGACAACAGGACAGAGACCAGAGGGACUGGGCGGCUUGUCCCAGGCUACUGGGCUGUGGUCUCUGACCCCCUGGAGGCCUCCCCACGCCUCACAGAACACAGUGCAGAUGGUGGGCGGGGAGAGCUUGAGGGGAGGCCCAGCCCUGCAGGUGGGACUGGCUCUCCCUCCCCAGCCACGAGUAUGCCACAGGGGGCUUUCAAAACCAGGCAGGGCCAAGCCUUAGCCCCACUGGAGGUAGAGCACCUUCUGUGGCUCCCGGGUGCCUUUAGGCCCGUCCAGGAGUUGGAGCAGAGGAGAAGACCCAGACUGUGCAUAGUUCCCUGAGGAGGGCUAGCCUCAGGUGCCACAGCCUGGUUCGGCCUGGCGGCCCCAGGAGGCAGCAACAACCUUGGGCUUCCUGCGGGGUGACUACCUUGCUCUCCGGCCCUGCCCAUUGACUAACUAUGCUCUGUGGUUUUGUUUCCAGAGAACUCAGAUUGCACAGAGCUAGACUCGGGCAGCCAGAGCGGCGAGCUGAGUAACAGGGGUAACACCUCCCUGCUGCCCCUCCCUCUCUCUCCCUCUCUCUCCUUAUCUCUUUACCCUCCCCAGGGCUCCAUCUCCGCCUCAGGGGCUUCUCCACCCCAAGUCUGGCUCCAUUCCUGGCCUUCUGUUGGUGACAGACCCCCUAAGGUGCUCGUUUGGGGGCUCUUCAGGCAGCACCUCAGCCUGGCACCCCCACUCCCCUGCGCAGCCCCCGGGCCUCAGGACCCCACCCCUCUGAGGCCCAGGGGAGCCCUGUUCACGCUGGUUUCUCCCCAGGACCCAUGAGCUUCCUGGCUGGCCUGGGCCUUGCUGUGGGACUGGCCCUGCUCCUGUACUGCUAUCCGCCAGACCCCAAGGGCCUGCCAGGGACCCGGCGCGUCCUCGGUUUCUCGCCUGUCAUCAUCAACAGACAUGUCAGCCGCUACCUGCUGGCCUUCCUGGCAGAUGACCUAGGGGGGCUCUGACAGACCCCGGACCCAGGGCCUCACCUGCCACUCAACCAAAGAGUCCUCGAGCCGGCCCGCCAAGGGGACUGCUGCUUCUUUUUCUAAAUGCAUAUUUUUCAUUAUUUAUAAUUUGUGUAAAAAACACACCUUCACCUUACAAGGUGCUGACCAUAUUAAAUGUUC